AACGAACGCUGGCGGCAUGCCUAACACAUGCAAGUCGAACGAGACCUUCGGGUCUAGUGGCGCACGGGUGCGUAACGCGUGGUAACCUGCCCUUAGGUUCGGAAUAACUCCCCGAAAGGGGUGCUAAUACCGGAUAAUGUCUUCGGACCAAAGAUUUAUCGCCUUUGGAUGGGCCCGCGUUGGAUUAGCUAGUUGGUAGGGUAAAAGCCUACCAAGGCGACGAUCCAUAGCUGGUCUGAGAGGAUGAUCAGCCACACUGGGACUGAGACACGGCCCAGACUCCUACAGGAGGCAGCAGUGGGGAAUAUUGGAGAAUGGGCGAAAGCCUGAUCCAGCAAUGCCGGGGGAGUGAGGAAGGCCUUAGGGUUGUAAAGCUCUUUUAGCCGGGAUGAGAAUGACAGUACCGGGAGAAUAAGCUCCGGCUAACUCCGUG
RNAcentral lists this ribosomal RNA (433 nucleotides) under uncultured bacterium. RNAcentral's name for it is "partial 16S ribosomal RNA". It matches the Rfam family "Bacterial small subunit ribosomal RNA", at positions 29 to 507 of the family's 1533-position model. The record is from RNAcentral.